UACGAAGGGGGCUAGCGUUGUUCGGAAUCACUGGGCGUAAAGCGUAUGUAGGCGGAUUGUUAAGUCAGGGGUGAAAUCCCGAGGCUCAACCUCGGAACUGCCUUUGAUACUGGCUGUCUUGAGUCCGGGAGAGGUGAGUGGAACUCCUAGUGUAGAGGUGAAAUUCGUAGAUAUUAGGAAGAACACCAGUGGCGAAGGCGGCUCUCUGGACCGAUACUGACGCUGAGGCGCGAAAGCGUGGGGAGCAAACAGG
RNAcentral lists this ribosomal RNA (253 nucleotides) under uncultured bacterium. Its description in RNAcentral is "partial 16S ribosomal RNA". It matches the Rfam family "Bacterial small subunit ribosomal RNA", at positions 524 to 776 of the family's 1533-position model. The record is from RNAcentral.